UGGGGGAUGUGCUCCUCAAGAUACGAGCCCAGGGUGUAAUUUAACCCAUUUCUCACAGUACACCAACACCCCAGCUCUACCCUAGAGAACCACCCUACGUCGAAGUUCAUAUUGUGGGCUACAUGGACUAAGGGUCUGACUCAAAACAAGGUAGUUUUACAUGCUCACUAGCUCUUACUGCUUUUAACCUGACUCAGAAUAAGGUAGUUUUUCUACGUGCCUUUGAAGGUGACCCGGAAACUGCAAUUAAUCCAGAAUGCAGCAGCUAGACUGGUGACUGGGAGUGGCUGCCGGGACCACAUAACACCGGUCCUGAGAGAUCUGCAUUGGCUCCCAGUACGUUUCCGUGCACAAUUCAAAGUGUUGGUGCUGGCCUUUAAAGCCCUAAAUGGCCUCAGCCCAGUAUACCUGAAGGGCGUCUCCACCCCCAUUGUUCUGCCCAGACACUGAGGUCCAGCUCCAAGGGUCUUCUGGCGGUUCCCUCAUUGCAAGAAGUGAGGUUUCAGGGAACCAGGCAGAGGGCCUUCUCGGUAGUGGCGCCUGCCCUGUGGAACACCCUCCCACCAGAUGUCAAGGAAAUAAACAACUAUCUGACUUUUAGAAGACAUCUGAAGGCAGCCCUGUUUAGGGAAGUCGUUAAUGUUUGACGUUUGAUCGUGUUUUUAAUAUUCUGUUGGGAGCUGCCCAGAGUGGCUGGUAAAACCCAGCCAGAUGGGUGGGGUAUAAAUAAAUUAUUAUUAUUAUUACUACUACCUGCUCACUAGCUUUUACUGCUUUUAACCUAUUUCACACACCAUUCACACACCUCCCUGCAGCGGAGCUCCAAUAAACACACCCUCGGGAAGACUGACUCACCAUGGAGUUGUCAGCGACAGAGACGUCAAACUCAGUGCCAGGCCACGUGGUUCAAGCAAGGACCACCUUCAGGGCAAAUGGCACCCUGCGUGGCUCAGCUGCCGCUACAGCGCAGCUUCCAAGCUUACUUUACUUUCCCCGAGCCGAGCAGAAUCUCACCCCGUGUCCUCAUGCUCUCUUGCCUUCCAGCUAGGGUUUCUGUCCUUUUCCAUUUGCUGUCCUCAGCCAACCUGCGCUGUGCGCAGAGAAGAGUCUGUCAUCAGGGAUGAGCAAAGCAGCCAGAGGACACUGACGGCGUCCCGGCUCCUGCCCAAGGCACACUGACAGAGGCUGUUACUUAGAAGGAAGAAAAAAUAGAUUUCAUGGAAUCGCAGAGUUGGAAGGGACCCCAAAGGACAUCCAGUCCAACCCCCUGCAAAGCAGGAAUCUGAGCUAGAUCAUCCAUGACAGAUGGCCAUCUGAUCUCUGCUUAAUAACCUCCAGUGAAGGUGAGCUCAACACCUUUCAUGGGAGUCCAUUUCACUGCUGAACAGCUCGUAUCGUCAGAAAGUUCUUCCUGUUACAGUGGUACCUUGGGUUAAGUACUUAAUUCGUUCCGGAGGUCUGUACUUAACCUGAAACUGUUCUUAACCUGAAGCACCACUUUAGCUAAUGGGGCCUCCCACUGCCGCCGCACCGCAGGAGCACGAUUUCUGUUCUCAUCCUGAAGCAAAGUUCUUAACCUGAAGCACUAUUUCUGGGUUAGCGGAGUCUGUAACCUGAAGCGUAUGUAACCCGAGGUACCACUGUAUUUAGUCAGAAUCGCCUUCUUGUAACUUAGAAUCAUAGAAUCAUAGAAUCAUAGAGUUGGAAGAGACCACAAGGGCCAUCGAGUCCAACCCCCUACCAAGCAGGAAACACCAUCAGAGCACUCCUGACAUAUGGUUGUCAAGCCUCUGCUUAAAGACCUCCAAAGAAGGAGACUCCAUCACUUGAAGACAUUGGUUCGUGUCCUUCCCUGCAAAGCAGGAGAAAACAAGCCUGCUCCAUCUUCCAUGUGUCAGCCCUCAAGAGAUCUGAACCACAUAACAAGACCACAUAACACCAGUCUUGAAAGACCUACACUGGCUCCCAGUACAUUUCCGAGCACCAUUCAAAAUGUUGGUGCUGACCUUUAAAGCCCUAAACGGCCCGGCCCAGUAUACCUGAAGGAGCAUCUCCACCUCCAUCGUUCUGCCCGGACACUGAGGUCCAGCUCUGAGGGCCUUUUGGUGGUUCCCUCCCUGCGAGAAGCCAAGCUACAGGGAAGCAGGCAGAGGGCCUUCUUGGUGGUGGCACCCGCCCUGUGGAACGCCCUUCAGAUGUCAAUGAAAUAAACAACUACCAGACUUUUAGAAGACAUCUGAAGGCAGCCCUGUGAUCUUCUCAUGUUCUUACGAACUAAACAGGCCUUGGAUUGGAUGUGGCAAGGCUGUUCUCAAAGCCAGGAUGACUCGGACAAACUUCUGCCUCAUUGCUGAGGCUCACAUGUCUCUACAGCAGCAAGCGCCCUAGGAGAAUAGGCAGUUUCCAUGGCAGGCCUCUUGCCAGCUAUGGAAAGUGCUCAGUGGGGUUGACUUAACCCAGUUUCUCGUUAGGAAACGUGCCUAAUUAAGACCAGGCUCCUUCCUAAUAAUCAACCUCGGCUUUAUGGAGGGGAGACGACUUCAUAGCAAUGUCUUUGUUGAUACAUAAUAGAUAAUAUCCGGAGAACUCUGCCCCUGUUAGGAUAUAGCAAAUAGCUGGAGUCUGCACAAAAAAAACCACAAAAAAAAAACAUCACAGACUGAUGUUUCCUUUUGUACUUCUGCAAUUCCCAACCAAAUAAUUUGCCUGUUUUUUGCUCCCAAAUGUGACCUGUGAUGUGGGAGAAAAGAAACUGAAGGCAAGUGAAGAGCUCUUUAAACAGAGCAUGCGAGUCUUAAUCUCAGGGUUGUGGGUUUGAGCCUGUGAUGGCCUGGGACUCAGGCUAGGACUCGGAACCAGAGGAGUCUCAGUCCACACCGGAUCCUUUGCCUCGGGCAUCAUCGGAACCAAGUCUGGGGCCUGAUCCCAGUCUGCACAGGUUCCCCUGCAACAAACUCCAGCUGGGCCAAGUCAGGGGCCUGAGCCUGCCCUGGCUCCAGUUGCGGGAAUGACCUCGUUGCCUUCAGCUGGGCCAUCACUUACAGCUGCUCCACUACCGGUUGCGUCAGGGGAGGCUGAGGCAGCCCAUGGGUCUAGUAACCCACCGACGUCUGAUCAAGUCCAGUGAUGCUUCUUGAUCCACAGAAAAGACUUCUGGGUCACUUUUGCUUACUGACCCUGAGCACCCAAGAGACUUGCAUACCUUCCAACAUUUCUCCAAUGAAAAUAAGGAUGCCCUGUUCCAUUAUUAUUGAUAUUAGUAGUAGUAGUAACAGUGUCCCUGAAGGACCAGGUGUGCAUCCUGUGGGUCAUUUUGGACUCACAGCUGUCCAUGGAAGUGCAGGUCAAUUCUGUGUCCAGGGCUCUACCAGUUCCAUCUGGUACAUGUGCUGAGACCCUCCCUGCCCACAGACUGUCUGGCCAGAGUGGUGCAUGCUCUGUUUAUCUCCCGCUUGGACUACUGCAAUGCACUCUACGUGGGGCUACCUUUGAAGGUGACUUGGAAACUGCAACUAAUCCAGAAUGCGGCAGCUAGACUGGUGACUGGGAGUGGCCACGGAGACCAUAUAACACCAGUCCUGAGAGAUCUGCAUUGAUUCCCAAUAUGUUUCCUAGCACAAUUCAAAGUGUUGGUGCUUUAAAGCCCUAAAUGGCCUCAGCCCAGUAUAGCGUCUCCACCCCCAUCGUUCAGCCUGGACACUGAGGUCCAGCUCCAAGGGCCUUCUGGCAGUUCCCUCCCUGCGAGAAGCCAAGUUACAGGGAACCAGGCAGAGGGCCUUCUCGGUAGUGGCGCCUGCCCUGUGGAACGCCCUCCCAUCAGAUGUCAAUGAAAUAAACAACUAUCCCACUUUUAGAAGACAUCCGAAGGCAGCCCUGUUUAGGGGGGAUUUUAAUGUUUUAUGUUUUAUUGCUUUAUUAUUAUUAAUAAUAAUGUUCUCUUGGGAGCUGCCCAGAGUGGCUGGGGAAACCCAGCCAGAUGGGUGGGGUAAAAAUAAUAAAUUUUCUUCUUCUUCUUCUUCCUCUUCUUCUUCAUACCCUGCCCAUCUACCUAGGUUGCCCCAGCCACCGUCGGCAGCUUCCAACAUAUGUAAAAACAUAAUAAAACAGUAAACAUUCAAAAACUUCCCUAUACAGAGUUGCCUUCAGACAGGUAGGGAGUCAAAUCCUUCAACACGUCUCUGAUGAAAAUAGGAACGUCCAUUGAAAAGCGUGGCAUUCUGGGAUCAAAUCAGAAACUGGGACGGCUUCUGUAAAUCCGGGACUGUCCCUGCAAAACUUUGAAGGUCUGGACCUGUUUUUGCAGGUGAUAAAUUUCUGCCUGGCGACACAAGAGACCAACUAAUGAACAAGCGAAGUCAGUCCUUGCCUGCUGCCUGCGAUCCCUCGUUGCUUCUGACCUGUGUGCAUUCGUUGGCAUGGAGUCAGCUCCGAGCUUUGCCUCUCAUUAAAUAAGAGAAACGUUUCAUGCAACCCGUUAACGAAGUGGCAGCAAGGUCAGACAAUGGGCGACUUCUUCCUUUUCACGCCUCUCAGACACCCCCAUUCCCCAGCUGCUCGCAGUUCGGAAGGCAGGCAAAAUUAGCCUCUCUCGAGUUUCCAUGGCAAGUAAUAAGCCGUGUUAUCUGGACAUCGCCUUCUUUUCAUUUCAGCGAAGUCUUCAGCGCUGGGGCAAAGAUGGCUGCUUUGCUUUGGAGCCUUGGAAAUGGAUUCUGAAAGCAAGACUCGGCCGUUGCCACAAAGCAAUUCAUUAGCCUGCCUCUGAGGUAUCUUUUAACUCC
Molecule: long non-coding RNA, 4778 nt
Filed under: Podarcis lilfordi (Lilford's wall lizard)
Lineage: Eukaryota; Metazoa; Chordata; Lepidosauria; Squamata; Lacertidae
Source: RNAcentral